Molecule: RNA transcript, 4975 nt
Organism: Sapajus apella (tufted capuchin)
Lineage: Eukaryota; Metazoa; Chordata; Mammalia; Primates; Cebidae
Source: RefSeq, a predicted model, not a curated record
CUUGUGUAAUACACUAUUGCUUGCUUCCUUCUGCAUGCCGUUAACCCCAGACAGCGGGCCGUGAGGCAUUGUCUGCCUGUUGUUUAUAUAACCUGUGAAUAUAAAUGCCGGAUGUUAAUGAAGGAAACAGGAUCUGCUUAGUGAAGGAAGGGAUAUAAAAUGGAUCCCAAAUAUCCGCGUGUGGAGCUAAAUGAUGGUCACUUUAUGCCUGUACUGGGAUUUGGCACCUACGCACCUCCAGAGGUUCCAAGGAAUAGAGCUAUGGAGGUCGUCAAAUUAGCAAUAGAAGCUGGGUUCCGCCAUAUAGAUUCUGCUCAUUUAUACAAUAAUGAGGAGCAAGUUGGACUGGCCAUUAGAAGCAAGAUUGCAGAUGGCAGUGUGAAGAGAGAAGACAUAUUCUACACUUCAAAGCUUUGGUGCACUUUCCUUCGACCAGAGUUGGUCCAAUCAGCCUUGGAAAGCUCGCUGAAAAAACUUCAGUUGGACUAUGUUGACCUUUAUCUUAUUCAUUUCCCAGUGGCUCUCAAGCCAGGUGAGGACCUAAUGCCAAAAGAUGAAAAUGGAAAAGUAAUAUUCGACACAGUGGAUCUCUGUGCCGCAUGGGAGGCCAUGGAGAAGUGUAAGGAGGCAGGAUUGGCCAAGUCCAUCGGGGUGUCCAACUUCAACCGCAGGCAGCUGGAGAUGAUCCUCAACAAGCCAGGGCUCAAGUACAAGCCCGUCUGCAACCAGGUGGAAUGUCAUCCUUAUCUCAACCAGAGCAAACUGCUGGAUUUCUGCAAGUCAAAAGACAUUGUUCUGGUUGCCCAUAGUGCUCUGGGAACCCAAAGACAUGAAAUAUGGGUGGAUCAGAACUCCCCAGUUCUUUUGGAGGACCCAGUUCUUUGUGCCUUGGCAAAAAAGCACAAGCGAUCCCCAGCCCUGAUUGCCCUGCGCUACCAGCUGCAGCGUGGGGUGGUGGUCCUGGCCAAGAGCUACAAUGAGCAGCGGAUCAGAGAGAACGUGCAGGUUUCUGAAUUCCAGCUGUCUUCAGCAGAUAUGAAAGUUCUAGAUGGCUUAAACAGAAAUUUUCGAUAUGUUGCCUUAGAUUAGCUACAUUGUGACAGUCCACAUCUCUUUCAGGAGCCAAUCUUGAAAGCCAUUGCCAAGAAAUGCAGUCGAAGCCCAGAUCAGGUCACCCAGCUCAGCGGCGUUGUUGGUUCUGGCCAAGAGCUUCUCUGAGAAGAGAAUGCAAGAUGACCUUCAGGUAUGGGUCCAGUAAUGUUUCUUCAGAGUGUGCCGUGGGUGCUGUCUUGGUGAUCUCUCUUGCAUGGGAGCAUACACUGUAUUCCAUUCAUUCUCAUGCUUCUCUCCCCUGUGUGCUAGGGAUGGGGGCAGCUUGGAAGGGUGAGAAGAGAGAGCACUGGACUCAGAGUCCUAAGGUUUGUCACCUCUGUGCUUUGCUUUGCCACUUACUAGGUAUGUGACACUAAGCAAAUUUCAACUCUGUUAUUUUAAUCAAUUUUAGGAGUUCUUCUACAUGGUAAUAAAUUUAAGGGCCCUGGGUUCUCCCAUUUACCUUCUCUGCCCAACAAACUCCUAUUUGUAUUUUAAGAUCAAACCCAAAUAAGAUAAGCUGCUUUGUUUAACCACUCAAACCACCCACCAUAUUUUUUCACCAUUAUAAUACAUGGAACAGCUCUGCUUAGUGAGAUUUUUUUUUUCUUAUUAAUUGCCCACUGUUUGCUAAUAUGUCAGUGUGCUCCCUGGAUGGUGAGACCCUAAAUGCAGUGACUCUUUCUGGGUCAUCUUUUAUCACCUUUCCCUUAGCAGAGAGGAAACCAGGUAUAAGUUCAUAGCUUUACCAAAUUAACAUAUACAAUGAGUAAAGUUAUUUCCUAAACCUCUCCCCAUAUACACUCUGGGCCUUAUAUUAAUCACAGGUCUCCAACUAAUUUUGUUUUGAAUCCCACAAGAAUUUUGAAAAACCAUGUAAGCUAUUUUUCAUUUUGAGAUGACAGCUACAAAUUUUAUUGUGAGCAUAUUUACAAAAUAUGACAUUUGAGACAUAUUAUUUGUAAUGUAUUUACUUCAAAACAUUUUAGUUAUAGAUCAAGUAUAUUCAUUUGUGGAAAAAUUCAAUUGGCAAAUCUAAAUCUCAUUGUUAAACCACACAGAUUACAUUUUAUUUUUCAAUUAAACACAUGUUAAUACCUGCUCCCAUGACAACCAUAUAACUUCUGAAGUACAUUAUUUAAAGGAAUAAUGGAUAAACUGGUGGGUGGAUAUAUAGAAAAUAGACAUAUAUAUAGAGAAAAAGAUGAUGAUGAUAGUAGAUGGAAGGAUGGAUGAUAGAUAGAUAGAUAGAUAAUAGGCAGAUUAUCUUAGCCUUUCAUGAAAUUGUCUUCUGGACCACAUAAUGAACUUAGUACUUUUUACCAAAGAUAUCUCUGUUUUGCUAUUAAAGGACUUCCCAUUAGGGGCUGCUCCCAUGACAACCAUAUCACUUCUGAAACACAUUUUAAAAAAGAAUAAUGGAUAAAUUGGUGGGUAGAUAGAUAGAAAAUGAACAGAUAUGUAUAGAGAGAAAUACAGAAAUAGAUGAUGAUAAUGGAUGGAUAGAUAGAUAGAUGAUACAUAGGCAGAUGAUAUGAGUCUUUCAUGAUUGUCUCCUGGAUCACAUAAUAAACUUAGCAUUUUUUUUUUUAACCAAAUGUCUCUCUGUUUUGCUAUGAAAGGACUUCCCAUCAGGGGCUAUGUGUUGACAAGUGAAAACCAACUUAGACUUGAGUAAGAGAAAUUUAUUCAAAGGGUGGAACUCUGAGCAUAACAUCUAUGUAUCUCAAAGAUCGAUCAGAAAGCAUUCUUUAUAAAGGACAAGCAAACAGAGCUGCAAACAGACAGUAUUUAGGGGUUCUGAGGUGAGCAAGUAGAAGAGUUGAUCAGGAAAUGCUUUUUAUGGGGCAGAUUACUGAGUGGGAUUUUCCUGUUGUCCAAGGCUUGUUCAGUGUAAGCCUAUGACUGGAUCGAGUUCCAGGGGCAGUGGGGAAACAAGAGCCUGACCAAGUGUGGUCAAGUCCAGGUGGUAGGUAUUGUGUCCACACUUUCUUUUCUAUUUUAAAACAAGUGAUUUCUUUUUUCUGUCUCAAGCAAUUCUCUAGAAAUAUUUUAGAUUGAUGAGUGUACACUUUCCUUUUGAGAACUGGUGUGGAGUAGAAGAGGGGUGGGAUGGAGAAGAGGCAGCGCUCAGGUGGAAGAGCUUCCAGGCCAGGCGCACCUGGAAACAUGAGGAUGGAAAUGUCUCACUAAUGCCAUCCUUGCCUGUCUCCUGCGAAGUCCUUGGAUUCCCAGGUGGAAGCUGCUGUCCUGGGGAAAGGUUAAUGAGCUGAGCAGGUCUGAGCGAGAUACAGGCACAGAUCUGGAAACAUCUGGUGAGGCCACAUGGGGAGUAUCCACAGCAUGUCCAGUGCUAGAAAUGCCAGGCCUACAUGGAAGGUGCAGACUUGGCAGUGCUGUUGGCUGCUCUGAAAAGUUCCAUGGAGUCAGGAGAGCAGAGGCACAGCUGACCCUGGCCCACUCAUCCUGCCAGAGAACAGAGCUCUGGAGUGAAUCCAGCAGAGAGUUCCAGAAAGCUCCUCUCUCCCCUCUGACUCACACUGGCCUCUGUCCCACUGGUAUGGUGGUCACUCUCAACACCCAUUCUACAUUCCUUCUCUGAAAAUAAAUUAUGUCACCCAUUUACAAAGAAAACUUACCCAACAGAGUUAAAAUAUCGGAGAUUUCUGUCUAGGCUAUCUAUGGCUUUCAUGUCCUCUGGAGUCAACUGGAAUUCAAAAACCUAUCACAAAAACAAAAGACUUUUCUUAUUUUCAGAUUGCAUAAUUGCCAAUCCUGAAUCCCCAAGUAUAAGCAGAGAUAAGACUUAAAAUAUUAAUAAGUUUUCAACAGUUCUAGAAGUCAUCUCUAAACACUCAGGCGGUCAAUGAUUAUCACAUGACAAGUAAGCAAAAAUCCAUUCAUAGGUAUUAUAUAUUGAAACUGCACAACACUGCAGACAAAGUGAAAAUCUCAACAGAAAAAUGAAGAAGAAAAAGACACAGUGCACACGUGGUAGGAUCACAUACUUAGAAGACCCGCAAGAAUCUAGAUGCAAAUUUUAAAAUAAUAUAAAAUCAUAUAGUAAGUUUGAUAGAUACUGUUGAAUUUCUAUAUCUGUUUAAUAAACAGGUAUAAUGCAAAUAACAUUUGUUUUCAACACAAUUCAUGGUGGGAAUUGUCUUAAUACUAACGUUUCAUGUUUAAAGGAAACAGAUACAGCCUUGAAAAGUAUCUCACUCUAAAUUUGAGAGACUUUAAAUAUCAAAGAGAUGCCACUAAUUGUUAACAUGUUGAAUUAAAUAAAUCUAUAAAUUGAAUAAAUCACUCUUCAAUAGUGAUACAGAGAAUGAGAGAGAGAGGGAAAGAGCGAAUAAAAAACAUCAAGUUAACAAUUAAUGAAUCUAGGUAAAAGGUGUUCAUUGCAUUUUUGAAACAUUUCUAUAUAUUAGAAAAUCCACAAAACAAAAAAGGUAAUCAAGAGAUUCUAAGAAUUUUCAGUAUUCUAUGGAUAAAUAUUUAAAAAUACAUACGGUUUAAAGGAGAAUGUUAUACAAUUAAUGAAAUAUAUAUUAAAAGGUCAUUUAAAUAGUUGGAAAUUCAUUAUGGGUUGGAAAUGUCAAUAUUGUCAAAAAGUCAGUUAUCUUCACAUUUAGCAGCAGGUUUAUUAUAAUAUCAACCAAAAACUAAGAUAUGUACUUUUUACUGGAUGUUGAUGAUUCAAAAUUUCAUAUGACAGUCAAGAAUAAUCAAAAUAUUACCAAAUAAAAUGAAGAGUUGGAAUAAUAGAUGUACAAUUUUGGUAGCAAGACCUUUCAUUAUUUAGACAGAAAAGUAAAUAAGUCAAUUGAAGACAAAAGAGAGGCAAGAAUAUAAUUUGUGAAUGUUUCAUUUAUGGCAGAGG